AUGUUCAAAAAAGUUCCUCACUCAAAAUGAACGAGGAACUUGCCGAAAAUUCAUCAGUCACUGGCAACUCACAAAUUGGUUUAGUGACACCUCGAGACACAUGGGGCCGGAAAGAGAGUUCACCAACAGAUCGAUGGUAUCUUGUUUAUAUAAUUUUUACAAUGCACGGAAUGGGAAUGUUAAUGUCAUGGAAUAUGUUUAUUACAAUUGCUCCACAAUACUAUCACGAUUAUUGGUUUAACAAUACAAAUUAUCAAGACAGUUUUAUGUCAAUUAUUGGAGUGACGUCACAGAUUCCAAAUGUUGGAAUUAUGAUUUUAAAUACAAUUGUGGUCAUGGUAGGUUUCAUGAUGCUUCGAGUUGUGGUUCCUCUCAUUGUGAACUGCAUUUUGAUUGGGGUCAUUGUUAUUCUUGCCAUUUUUGUAACACCAUCUCCAGACAGUGUUACAUGGUUUUAUAUUGUUACUCUAAUCAUCAUAAUGGCUAUGAAUUUGGCCAAUGGAAUUUAUCAAAAUUCUGUAUACGGAAUCGUCGCCGAUUUUCCGGAUAACUACAUUAACUCUUUGGUUAUUGGAAACAAUUUGUGUGGAGUUUUUACUUCAGUAUUGAGUAUUCUAACAAUUCUUAUAUCGCCUAACGACAUUGAAUUGAAUGCCCUUUUAUACUUCAGUAUAUCAUUAGCAUUCAUGAUUGUUUGUUUGUUUUCUCUCUAUUUUCUGGUUCGAUUGCCAUUCUAUCAAUAUUACAUGGCAAAAGGAGUGGAGGCAAGAGCAGAGGAAAAAGUAGAUAAUCCGUCAAUCAGACAAUACUGGGAGUGCUUCAGAAUGUGUUGGGUCCAACUGUUCAACAAUUUCUACGUUUAUUUUGUUUCUCUUCUCAUCUUUCCUGCAAUGAUGACUGAUAGUGUGUACUCUGAUCCUACAAAUGGAAUAACUUCUGUUUUUGGAGAUAGUUUAUUCUUCCCGAUAACUACUUUCCUCAAUUUCAAUUUAUUUGCAUGGAUUGGAUCAUCUCUUGCCAAUUAUGUUCAAUUCCCAUCAGAGAAAUAUUUAUGGAUCGGAGUUGCUCUUCGAACCGUAUUCAUUCCAUUUUAUCUUUUCUGUAAUUAUCGUCCAGAUACUAGAAGAUGGCCUGUUUGGUUUAAGAAUGAAUGGUGGUUCACUAUUGGAUGUACCAUAAUGGCAUUUACUUGUGGUUAUAUGAGCAGUUUAGCGCUGAUUUAUACACCAAGCAAAGUGCCAGCUAGAUAUCAGAAGCUAAGUGGAAUGCUUGCAUCAAUUUUCCUAAUGCUCGGAAUUCUCAUCGGAGUCGCCAGUACACCCAUUGCUGCAUGGGCGGUGGACUCGAUAGGAAGUAGAAAGAACAUGACUGUAUAAUA
RNAcentral lists this unclassified non-coding RNA (1378 nucleotides) under Caenorhabditis elegans. Its description in RNAcentral is "Non-coding transcript of protein-coding gene ent-7". Lineage: Eukaryota; Metazoa; Nematoda; Chromadorea; Rhabditida; Rhabditidae. The record is from RNAcentral.